GUUUGAUCAUGGCUCAGGAUGAACGCUGGCGGCGUGCUUAACACAUGCAAGUCGAACGGGCUCAUUUUUCGGAAUGGGUUAGUGGCAGACGGGUGCGUAACACGUAGGUGACCUGCCCUAAAGUGGGGAAUAACUAUCCUAACGGAUGGCUAAUACCGCAUAAGCUCGGUGGUUCGGUCUGCCGAGUAAAGUUUUCGGACGCUUUAGGAUGGGCCUGCGGCGGAUUAGCUAGUUGGUGGGGUAACGGCCUACCAAGGCGAUGAUCCGUAGGGGGCGUGAGAGCGUGGCCCCCCACACUGGCACUGCGAUACGGGCCAGACUCCUACGGGAGGCAGCAGUGAGGAAUAUUGCACAAUGGGCGCAAGCCUGAUGCAGCAACGCCGCGUGAGGGACGAAGGCCUUCGGGUUGUAAACCUCUUUUCUGGGGAACGAGACAAGGACGGUACCCCAGGAAUAAGUCUCGGCUAACUACGUGCCAGCAGCCGCGGUAAGACGUAGGAGGCGAGCGUUAUCCGGAUUUACUGGGCGUAAAGCGUGCGCAGGCGGCUUUGCCAGUCGGAUGUAAAAGCUCCUGGCUUAACUGGGAGAGGCCAUUCGAUACUGCGAGGCUUGAGGUUGGGAGAGGGGUGUGGAAUUCCCGGUGUAGUGGUGGAAUGCGUAGAUAUCGGGGGGAACACCUGUGGCGAAAGCGACACCCUGGCCCACACCUGACGCUGAGGUACGAAAGCGUGGGGAGCAAACAGGAUUAGAUACCCUGGUAGUCCACGCUGUAAACGAUGUCAACUAGGUGUCGGUGGUUUUACACUAUCGGUGCCGCAGCUAACGCGUUAAGUUGACCGCCUGGGGAGUACGGCCGCAAGGCUAAAACUUAAAUGAAUUG
RNAcentral lists this ribosomal RNA (880 nucleotides) under uncultured bacterium. Its description in RNAcentral is "bacterial SSU rRNA". It matches the Rfam family "Bacterial small subunit ribosomal RNA", at positions 11 to 912 of the family's 1533-position model. The record is from RNAcentral.